GGAGGAAGAAUAUGAAGAAAACUAAUAUUAUUACAAACUUAGCAAUUUAAAAAGAAAUAAUUGGACUUGAGCAAAUCACAAGGGGAAAAAAAUGAGAAAGAAGACAGAUUUCUUGUUCAAGGAAGACAUCUGUUUGAAGUAUGUAAAACCAUCUUCAACAUGGCAUUAGCUCUUGAUGCUCCCAAAGAACCUAGAAAGUGGCACAGGACCAUCCGCCUCUUCAUCGUUACUGUUGGAGUGCUUGGAUCUUGACCUAUGCCUCUUUUCC
This 268-nucleotide unclassified non-coding RNA is filed under the name Hevea brasiliensis (rubber tree). The record is from RNAcentral. Lineage: Eukaryota; Viridiplantae; Streptophyta; Magnoliopsida; Malpighiales; Euphorbiaceae.